GAUGAACGCUGGCGGCGUGCCUAAUACAUGCAAGUCGAGCGAACGGACGAGAAGCUUGCUUCUCUGAUGUUAGCGGCGGACGGGUGAGUAACACGUGGAUAACCUACCUAUAAGACUGGGAUAACUUCGGGAAACCGGAGCUAAUACCGGAUAAUAUUUUGAACCGCAUGGUUCAAAAGUGAAAGACGGUCUUGCUGUCACUUAUAGAUGGAUCCGCGCUGCAUUAGCUAGUUGGUAAGGUAACGGCUUACCAAGGCAACGAUGCAUAGCCGACCUGAGAGGGGUCGCGGCCCCACGUGAACUGGAACCCGGUCCCGACCCCUAAGGGAGGCAGCAGUAGGGAAUCUUCCGCAAUGGGCGAAACCCUUACGGCGCCACCCCGCGUGAGUGAAGAAGGUCUUCGGAUCGUAAAACUCUUUUAUUAGGAAAGAACAAAUUUUUAAAUACCUGUCCCCAUCUUGCCGGUCCCUAAUCAGAAAGCCCCGGCUAACUCCUU
Molecule: ribosomal RNA, 496 nt
Filed under: uncultured bacterium
Lineage: Bacteria
Description: partial 16S ribosomal RNA
Rfam family: Bacterial small subunit ribosomal RNA
Source: RNAcentral